Molecule: ribosomal RNA, 247 nt
Filed under: uncultured bacterium
Lineage: Bacteria
Description: partial 16S ribosomal RNA
Rfam family: Bacterial small subunit ribosomal RNA
Source: RNAcentral
AUACGGAGGGUGCAAGCGUUGUUCGGAAUUACUGGGCGUAAAGCGCGCGUAGGCGGUUUGUUAAGUCAGAUGUGAAAGCCCCGGGCUUAACCUGGGACGUGCAUUUGAAACUGUCAGACUUGAGUAUUGGAGGGGGUGGUGGAAUUCCCGGUGUAGAGGUGAAAUUCGUAGAUAUCGGGAGGAAUACCGGUGGCGAAGGCGACCACCUGGCCAAAUACUGACGCUGAGGUGCGAAGGCGUGGGGAGC